This 430-nucleotide ribosomal RNA is filed under the name uncultured prokaryote. Its description in RNAcentral is "bacterial SSU rRNA". It matches the Rfam family "Bacterial small subunit ribosomal RNA", at positions 355 to 776 of the family's 1533-position model. RNAcentral also lists the same sequence under 1 other name. The record is from RNAcentral.
CGGGGAAUUUUGGACAAUGGCGGCAACCCUGAUCCAGCAAUGCCGCGUGUGUGAAGAAGGCCUUCGGGUUGUAAAGCACUUUUGUCCGGAAAGAAAACUUCGAGGUUAAUACCCUUGGAGGAUGACGGUACCGGAAGAAUAAGCACCGGCUAACGACGUGCCAGCAGCCGCGGUAAUACGUAGGGUGCGAGCGUUAAUCGGAAUUACUGGGCGUAAAGCGUGCGCAGGCGGUCUGUUAAGACCGAUGUGAAAUCCCCGGGCUUAACCUGGGAACUGCAUUGGUGACUGGCAGGCUUUGAGUGUGGCAGAGGGGGGUAGAAUUCCACGUGUAGCAGUGAAAUGCGUAGAGAUGUGGAGGAAUACCGAUGGCGAAGGCAGCCCCCUGGGCCAACACUGACGCUCAUGCACGAAAGCGUGGGGAGCAAACAGG